UUAACUCAAAUUUGUAUGUAGUUGAAGCACCUUCCCUUCGUUUGCCGCUAGGGGCACUGUUCAACUCCAUACAAAUUUAAGUUA
Non-coding RNA from Bombyx mori (domestic silkworm), 84 nucleotides. The record is from Rfam. Lineage: Eukaryota; Metazoa; Arthropoda; Insecta; Lepidoptera; Bombycidae.